AUGGCGGCCUGUCCUGGACUGUGCAGAUGGGGACAAAACUGCAAGACGAAGCAGAAGGGGAUGAGCACUGGUCCCCAAGGACAGCGAGGAUGGUCACCUGCAGGUCACACAGCUCCCUGGCUGAGCCCGAUCUGCCCCCUCUGCUUCCUGAGGGCAGAGUCACCACGCUGCCACCUCUGCAGAAGGAAAGCCCCGAGCAGGCACCGCUGUGUGUCAUGCUGUGUGUCACACGCGUGCCCUGAAACACGCACACGUGUGGGCGGGCUGAUGCCACGGUCCGGAGCCCAGGGAGGAGAGGAGGGCAGUGACGGUGGAGGGCAGCCGGUGUUUCUCCUGGACAGCGUGGGUAGGAAUGGACGAGACGUAAGAAAACAGGCUCAUCACACAGCUACUUAUCUUUCAAAAAGAGCAAGAGGACACGAGGAGGAGAAAGAAAGGGUCGCAGAAGGAGACAUCAGCGGCAGGAGCCCGGAUCCUUGCAGAGACACAGCUGGGACGCCAACAGAGGGAUGGGGCGGUGACACUUUUCUGACUUUUGUCCAUAUUUAGUAAUAUUGUUAAUAUUUUAUAUAUACACCCAAAAUUACAGCGGGGUCCCCUCAAGCCGGGAGACCAUCAGAAACAAACGAACCCAGCUUAUUUCAUGAAUCACACAGCACCGGCGAAGCGGGUGGAGGACCCAACAGCACAGUGUUCUGACCAAGUGCCCUGGUCUAGGGGCCAGAGCAGCUGUUACCGGAGUGGGUUUGCCUUUCCUGGCCAUGUGCAUUGGCAUUUAAACCUGCAAUCCAGGACCCAGCCUGCGCUGGACACUGAGGUGCCGGCCUCUCCCCUCUCCCCUGGGGGCAGAACAACCCAAAGCCUGGCCCAUCCCCAGAAGGCUCUGCAGGAAUGGGACAGGGACUGCUCAAGCACAGACGGAAGCCCAGGGAGGAGGGGCACAGGCGAAUUUACAGAAUUAACACCAAGGCCUUGUCUUCUCUCGCAGGAAGGGAACACUGGGUGGCACUUCCUCCCUCUGUCUCCAGGCAGCUGAGGUUUCUUUUUCUCAGUUCAGAUAGAAAUUGUGAAAUGGGCCAAGGGCAGCAGCUCCAAUGCUGAAUGGUACAAUGAUGCGCUGGCCAACACCAGUCAAGGUCAGGCACCAGGCCUCAAGUGUGAUUAUAUAGCAGCCACAGGCCUGUGAUUGGUUCACAGUUGAGCCUGCUGAUUGGUCUGAAUUCAACUUGCUGAUUGGUCCAAAUUUAAUUCUACCUGGCUCAAAUCUGAGCAGAGCUUUGGGAGACUUGGCUGUUUGAUUGACAGUAGUCAUGUCUCCUGAAAAGUGUUAGGGCCAAGAUCAGGGACCGCUCAGGAGGCCUAGCUGUGUCCAUCAUGGCUCUGGGCUUGGGCAUAUUAGUAAUGAGCCCAGAUCCCUCCUGAUCUUUGCCACAUGAAGGGGAUUUCCCCUGCUACUUGUCUGGAGCCAGGGAGAAGAUGGUCACUGACAGCUGAGCUGCUGCUCCCGUUUGAGCUGCUGGGAAUGUGGCCUCAAAUAACCUGAAGGGUGGCAGAAGGACGGCUUUCCCCGUCCAUCAAAGUGGGGAUCCAGGGGGAGUGACAGGAAAUGAGGGGGAGCAGCUGACUGACAGCUGUUGGCCAAACCCAGCCCCCAGAAGGCCCAGGUGGAGGGGAAAGCCAGCUGCUUCUUGCCUGUCUCACCGGGAUGCUAGGGGCUUGGCCUUGGUAAGCACAUCUGAUGGCUGUGCCAAGCCAUGCUGGUGCCCUUUGCUGGGCAUCUCGUGGGCCUAUGGGCUUCCCACCCUCACCCGGAUAACCCAGGGUGCCCCACUGGAGUAGUUUUCACAUGGCAGGUCAGGGCAUGGGGUUUGGAAAUCUUCACCAGGCUCCCCAAGGUGGCAGGGCUGAAGAAGCUGGGGCUUCCCUGCCAAACUCCGGGGUCAGUGCCCUGCAUGACAGAGCCGUAAAACCCACUGAGGUGGAGCCCCAGCCACCCACCCCAGGCCCCUGCCCAGCCCCCUCCACCCAGCCCAUCCUGUCCACAGGCACAACUGUGGGGCCACUCACCCUCACUGAGCCCUUGUCAGCCACCUCGGACUCCUGACCACUGCAUCUGGCCAGCCGCAGAAGACUCAUCUUGUUAAUUGGUGCCUGUGGUCCGGGCUGUACUUCUUCCCUUUUUCCUGCCGCUACAGACUCCUCCAAGGUCACAUGUGGAGCUGAAAACUGGGCUGGAUUCCAGUUAGAGCCUGACAAGGCCCCUGUUCUACACGGCCUGCUCUGAUGACGUGACCUCCGGGUCAUCAGGCCUCCCUGGACCCUGGCUAUGGUUCAUGGCCAGAUGUCCCCCAAGGCCGCAUGCAGUCACAGGCGGGCCUGGAGACAGGUGUCUGGAUCAUGUUGGGCGUGGUUAUACCUGAAGAGGAGGUCGUGAUUAGAAGGGUUUGAUCUCCC
Molecule: long non-coding RNA, 2454 nt
Organism: Fukomys damarensis (Damara mole-rat)
Lineage: Eukaryota; Metazoa; Chordata; Mammalia; Rodentia; Bathyergidae
Source: Ensembl